ACAACAUUCGUACCGUCGCGUCUACCGAGGAACCACACCCGCUCGAUGGAAGAUCUUUCCUUUCGUCAU
RNAcentral lists this microRNA precursor (69 nucleotides) under Bombyx mori (domestic silkworm). RNAcentral's name for it is "mir-2774 microRNA precursor family". It matches the Rfam family "mir-2774 microRNA precursor family". The record is from Rfam by way of RNAcentral. Lineage: Eukaryota; Metazoa; Arthropoda; Insecta; Lepidoptera; Bombycidae.